AGCGAACGCUGGCGGCGUGCCUAACACAUGCAAGUCGAACGUGAAAAGGGAAACCUGAGUAAAGUGGCGUACGGGUGAGUAACGCGUAGGUAAUCUACCCCAGAAUCUGGAAUAACCUGCCGAAAGGCGGGCUAAUACUGGAUAGAGCGAGGGAACUCGUAAGAGAGUUUUUCGGGCAAGGGAGCCCGCAAGGGCCUUCGUUCUGGGAUGAGCCUGCGUCUCAUUAGCUAGUUGGUAAGGUAACGGCUUACCAAGGCGAUGAUGCGUAGCUGGUCUGAGAGGAUGAUCAGCCAAACUGGAACUGAAACACGGUCCAGACUCCUACGGGAGGGAGCAGUGGGGGAUCUUGCGCAAUGGACGAAAGGCUGACGCAGCCACGCCGCGUGAGUGAAGAAGGCCUUCGGGUUGUAAAGAUCUGUCGGAUGGGACGAACAUCUUCAUAGUGAAUAGCUAGGAGGACUGACGGUACCAUCAAAGGAAGCACCGGCUAACUCCGUG
Molecule: ribosomal RNA, 498 nt
Filed under: uncultured bacterium
Lineage: Bacteria
Description: partial 16S ribosomal RNA
Rfam family: Bacterial small subunit ribosomal RNA
Source: RNAcentral